This 762-nucleotide long non-coding RNA is filed under the name Oryzias javanicus (javanese ricefish). RNAcentral's name for it is "lncRNA (ENSOJAG00000013305.1)". Lineage: Eukaryota; Metazoa; Chordata; Actinopteri; Beloniformes; Adrianichthyidae. The record is from RNAcentral.
ACGGGGUGCUCUAAGGUCCAGAAUCCUCCAGUUUCUCCAGGAAAUCAGCUUCCUGUCUUUUUAAAGCUGAAAACCCUCAGCUCAUCUCUGUUCAGUCUAGAAUUUUCCUGUUCAGUUUGUUUCUCCAGAGUUCUCUGAGAUUUCGUCUCAGAUCAGCUGACCCGGCGGGGUUGGCGUUUGGUUCCUGCACCUUCCCGCUGGUCACAGGAGGACCGUGAGCUGUGGUGGAAAUCCUCAAAAAUGUGCAGAGCAGCAAAGAAGUAAGAGGAGGGGAGCUGGAGUGCCCUCCAAACACUCGUGCUCAGCGUCCAGGAAAGGAAGGACGUCCUCGCCAACGCCGCGUCUCCCCGCAGACUCCUCAAAGUCCGACACCGGAGCCCAAACCCUCCACUUCGGGGUCGGCGGGCUCCUGAGGCAGCAGGCUGUCUUCGUCGUCGUCGUCGUAGUGCUCCUCGUUGCCGUGGUAACGCCCUCGGUGGGACGGCUCGUGGUGCUCGUAGGGGCCGCGUCUGGAGUCCCGGUCGGCCUCGCUGGCGUGAGAGUGAUGUCUGCGCCUUUUUCUUCUGUGGGAAGCGGGAACGCCGAUGUAGAAGGGCUGAGCUUCUGGAAGACACAGAAGGUUCUGGGACUGAGGGGGCGCCGCUGGUUCUGGCGCCUCGGGGGCCACAAAAAACUCUAAAAUUUGACAGAGGGGCCGGAACAGGAGCAGAUUUUUGGCAUGUUUUGGUAAAUCACCACAUAAAAAGAAAGAAAUAACGCAGC